RNAcentral lists this ribosomal RNA (459 nucleotides) under uncultured Treponema sp. RNAcentral's name for it is "partial 16S ribosomal RNA". It matches the Rfam family "Bacterial small subunit ribosomal RNA", at positions 341 to 792 of the family's 1533-position model. The record is from RNAcentral. Lineage: Bacteria; Pseudomonadati; Spirochaetota; Spirochaetia; Treponematales; Treponemataceae.
ACGGAAGGCAGCAGCUAAGAAUAUUCCGCAAUGGGCGAAAGCCUGACGGAGCGACACCGCGUGGAUGAAGAAGGCCGGCAGGUUGUAAAAUCCUUUUGAAACCGAGGAAUAAGCAUCGGAGGGAAUGCCGGGGUGGUGACUGUAAGGUUUGAAUAAGCACCGGCUAAUUACGUGCCAGCAGCCGCGGUAACACGUAAGUUGCGAGAGUUGUUCGGAAUUAUUGGGCGUAAAGGGCAUGUAGGCGGUCUGGCAAGCUUGGUGUGAAAGCCCGGAGCUCAACUCCGGAACAGCAUUGAGAACUACCAGGCUAGAAUCACUGAGGGGGAACCGGAAUUCCAGGUGUAGGGGUGAAAUCUGUAGAUAUCUGGAAGAACACCAAUGGCGAAGGCAGGUUUCUAGCAGAUGAUUGACGCUGAGGUGCGAAGGUGCGGGGAGCAAACAGGAUUAGAUACCCUGGUA